RNAcentral lists this ribosomal RNA (279 nucleotides) under uncultured bacterium. Its description in RNAcentral is "partial 16S ribosomal RNA". It matches the Rfam family "Bacterial small subunit ribosomal RNA", at positions 506 to 784 of the family's 1533-position model. The record is from RNAcentral.
UGCCAGCCGCCGCGGUAACACGGGGGGCGCAAGCGUUAUUCGGAAUUAUUGGGCGUAAAGCGCACGUAGGCGGAUUAGUAAGUUAGGGGUGAAAUCCCUCGGCUCAACCGAGGAACUGCCUCUGAAACUGUCUCGCUUGAGGCCGGGAGAGGGUGGUGGAAUUCCCAGUGUAGCGGUGAAAUGCGUAGAUAUUGGGAGGAACACCGGUGGCGAAGGCGGCCACCUGGACCGGUUCUGACGCUGAGGCGCGAAAGUGUGGGGAGCAAACGGGAUUAGAUA